RNAcentral lists this ribosomal RNA (325 nucleotides) under uncultured Protaspa. RNAcentral's name for it is "SSU rRNA". The stretch from base 108 to 325 matches the Rfam family "Eukaryotic small subunit ribosomal RNA", at positions 736 to 955 of the family's 1831-position model. The record is from RNAcentral. Lineage: Eukaryota; Cercozoa; Thecofilosea; Cryomonadida.
GAUUUCUGGUGUGGUGCGCCGAGCCCGCCGUCGUUUAGGCGGUGAGCGCUUGCUGUGCGCCUACCAUCUUUCCGGAGGGCGACUCCUACCCUUAACUGGGCCGGGGGCCGCGAUCUGGAUCGUUUACUUUGAAAAAAUUAGAGUGUUUAAAGCAGGCGUAUGCUAUGAAUACAUUAGCAUGGAAUAAUAAGAUAGGACUUUGGCCCUAUUUUGUUGGUUUCUAGGACUGAAGUAAUGAUUGAUAGGGACAGUUGGGGGUGCUAGUAUUUAACGGCCAGAGGUGAAAUUCUUGGAUUCGUUAAAGACUAACUUAUGCGAAAGCAUU